GACGAACGCUGGCGGCGUGCUUAACACAUGCAAGUCGAACGGAAAGGCCCUGCUUUUGUGGGGUGCUCGAGUGGCGAACGGGUGAGUAACACGUGAGUAACCUGCCCUUGACUUUGGGAUAACUUCAGGAAACUGGGGCUAAUACCGGAUAGGAGCUCCUGCUGCAUGGUGGGGGUUGGAAAGUUUCGGCGGUUGGGGAUGGACUCGCGGCUUAUCAGCUUGUUGGUGGGGUAGUGGCUUACCAAGGCUUUGACGGGUAGCCGGCCUGAGAGGGUGACCGGCCACAUUGGGACUGAGAUACGGCCCAGACUCCUACGGGAGGCAGCAGUGGGGAAUAUUGCACAAUGGGCGGAAGCCUGAUGCAGCAACGCCGCGUGGGGGAUGACGGCCUUCGGGUUGUAAACCGCUUUCGCCUGUGACGAGGCGUGAGUGACGGUAAUGGGUAAAGAAGCACCGGCUAACUACGUG
RNAcentral lists this ribosomal RNA (468 nucleotides) under uncultured bacterium. RNAcentral's name for it is "partial 16S ribosomal RNA". It matches the Rfam family "Bacterial small subunit ribosomal RNA", at positions 28 to 507 of the family's 1533-position model. The record is from RNAcentral.